Molecule: ribosomal RNA, 252 nt
Filed under: uncultured bacterium
Lineage: Bacteria
Description: partial 16S ribosomal RNA
Rfam family: Bacterial small subunit ribosomal RNA
Source: RNAcentral
UACGGAGGGUGCAAGCGUUAUCCGGAUUCACUGGGUUUAAAGGGUGCGUAGGAGGGCAGGUAAGUCAGUGGUGAAAUCUCCGAGCUUAACUUGGAACUGCCGUUGAUACUAUCUGUCUUGAAUAUUGUGGAGGUGAGCGGAAUAUGUCAUGUAGCGGUGAAAUGCUUAGAUAUGACAUAGAACACCAAUUGCGAAGGCAGCUCGCUACACAUAUAUUGACUCUGAGGCACGAAAGCGUGGGGAUCAAACAGG